CCACCCCCUCCCAGCAGCCACCCAAACAGAGAGCAUCGGACAUGUUUGGCACAACCCCCCUUUUUCCUACAAUUAUAAAAAGCAAACAGACAAAAAGACUAUCAUAUGCACAUACAUGCAGUUUUGUCGAACUGACACACUGGCAUGCAUGUGCAGACACAGGUACUCACACAGUACUCAUACAGUAUUAUACACCAGUACAUUAUGCAGCAGUAGGAUGUAUUUUGGCUCAAAAAAAUUAUAUUCACACUUAUAUAUUUUUUUGUGAGCAGACAACCCACAUAUUGCAUGUAAAUAACCCAUCAUACUUAUAUAUUAUAAAAAGCAUGCAAUUGUGAAUGGAAACCUCUCAUGUGCCUUAAUGUCAUAAUUUUAGCUACUUGAGAUUAGUGGAGCUUCUUAAAUCUGACCACACAAAUCACAACGUCUCACUGUGAGUCAUCCACUUUAAAAUAAACAUGAAAAGGACACAACACAUUUAAAGGCAAAUGUAAUGGGUAUCACAGCAGAUACCCAGGGAGAAUGGACAUGGAGCUAGAAAUAAUGUUACUGCAAAAUUUGCUGAACUUUUAUUAGGAUGUCCUAUGCUUCCUGGUUGGAACUGCAUAUGUGUAUUGCUUCUAUAUUGCUUUGUGUAUUCACACUCCACUGGUGCAGUUAUGUUGUGUAAAGAGAGAGCCCCAAACUCACCAUACAAAAACUUGGAACUGCUCUGAGCGGCUCCUGUGCUGUUGUGGGAGACUCGUACCAUCUCACCAGGACAACAGGUCAGUGAGGCUGCGAUCACAGAGGACACUGACUUCUCCAGCUCAAACUUUAAGCACAGCUACAGGCAAACAGAAAGCUAGAGAGGCACAAGGCAGACGAGCUCUAAAAGUUCUACUUAGCAGAUAGUAACUAACUUAAAGCUUAAUGAGCAGGAUGAGAAGCUCAAACAAAUAAUGUAGGUAAACCUUAGAUAUGUUGUAGUCACACAGAGACUGAAAGACACUGAAUUCAGCCUAUGAAAUAUCCAAGUGGAAGUUUUUUCCUGAUGACGUAAUACAUAAGUGCACUUUCAAGUCCACCGUUCACAGAUGUUCUAAUUGAUCAGAUAGAGAAAAAGAAAGGGUCCUCUAAAAUGAUAGAACAUAAAGGGGCGAAAAAACCAACCUCUGUCUUGGGUCUGGAGGAGCUGAGUUAAUUAACAUUUAAUCAAAUCAUUGCAUUGAACACGUCUUUUGUUGGUAUUGCCAUGCAAUUUCAAUGGGCUGUGACAUGUUAUCUUUUUAGCCACAAAAAGGUUUUAACAACCAGACCUCCGGGAGUGAUUACGUUAGAAAUCAGGAGCUAACGUUUGCUAGCUAGGGGGUCAUUCCUGUGUUCCCCGGGUCCUGUGUUCCCUGCAAUCUAUCAAUCUUUACGGUAGACUCUCAGCAUGGCCAGCAGGCCGACCAUCACAUGGCCCACCUUAACUCAAGCAGCCCAAAACUUAAAUUUGCACAGCAGCAACUUUCUGGUUACUUUGCAGUUCAUUUUUUUGCUUUUUAAAUCUAGAAUUACUCAUGUUUAUUCCCACCCCUAAUCAUAUUGUCUUGUGUCGAGGCUUAGUUUUUUCCCUUUUAUUAUCCUACCUGUUCUCCAUUGUAUUGUGCAGCCUUGUGGAGAGUUUAAAACAAAAUCUCAUUAACCAUUCACCUCUAAUAACGUUUCAUUUAAUUUGUUUAAUUAGAUCUGUUUCAGAUAUGAGUGCUGAGGGGAACAUAGGACCCAGGGAACAUAGGACCAGGGGAACAUAGGGCCCGGGGGAACAUAGGACCCGGGGAACAUAGGACCCAGGGAACAUAGACACGCUCCUCUAGCUAAUAGCCUGAUGCUAACAGUGUACAUAUUUGUGUUAAACUAGUAAUAUAAAAGAGAACCUUGCCAAAAACAAGUUGUUCAACAGUACUUUGGUUCCGAUGUUGUGGUCCCAGCUCCACACAAAAUAGUUGCAGUCCUCUCCACUGUUGGACACUUUCAUGUUGCUGUGGAGUAGCAGGUCUGGAGGACAAGGUUAUUUGUAAUGAUGAUUGCCUGCAAAUCAGUCAAGUUGGGGGAAAAUUAAAUGAAAUUUCUUAAUUUUGUUUAGCUCACAUCCAACAUAACUUUCAAUUUCCUGAAGGUACCUGCUGCUGGCAGGUUAAUUCAACCCUGCAAUCUAGGGACUUUCCUCUAUGUCCAAUUUGCGCUCUAUAUGGAUUUAUCACUUUCGGACCCAGGAAAAAAACGUAUUCUCAUGGCCUGACAAAGACAGCUUACAUGUGAUCAAACUAACCAAAAUGACAAUAAAGAUGCAGGUAAAUUCAGUGUCCUUUGUAAUUAGGCCUCAGGCAGCCAUUUUGUAACAGAUGACAACCUUCCUUAAAUAAAGCAAGAUCUUAUUUGGUCCUGUUUAACAACCAUCACUUGAUGGGGGCUGCUCACGACCACACAAUCAGAAUUGCAGGAGUGGAGGUGAACUGUUAGUAAAAGGUGUAUGAUUAGUUUGACUGAGUAUGAAUGCUAAUGCUCAUUUCAUCAUUUUACGCUAAGAGGAAGUGAAAGCUCUCAUCGAAACAUAUCACCAUGCUCCAUUAACUAACACCAUCAUUCCAGAUUCAUACACUCUAUCUCAAACUCUCUUAUAUAACCAAAGCAAAGUCUAAGAUCUAAGCUAAUUAAUGUGCUCAUCACACAGGUGUAAUCUCGUUGGGCAUCAUAAGCUAUAAGACACUAUGGUAUCAUUAAUUUGUCAUGGACUAUGGGGUCAUCCCUAUGUUCCCCGGGCGGGUUUUUCAAAAAAAGGGUCCUAUGUUCCCCUUUAGCAAUACAUACUGGGGAGCAUAGAACCCUUUUCCAGAAAAAGGGUUCUAUGUUCCCCACAAUCUAUCAAUCUUUACGGUCGACUCUCAGCAUGGCCCACCUUAGCUCAAGCAGCAGCUACUUUCUGGUUGCUUUGCAGUUCAUUUUUUUGCUUUUUAAAUCUAGGAUUACUCAUGUUUGUACAUUUCCACCCCUAAUCAUAUUGUCUUGCAUCGAGGCUUAGCAUUUUCCUUUUAGGGUUAGGGAUAGGGUUAGGGUUAGGUUAGGGUUAGGGUUAAGUUAUUUGCAUAUGCACGUCAAACAGCCCGUAGGCCUACAUAAGCCUAUUUGCCAUGGAAUUUGGCAGUAAUGGUGGAAAAAGUAACAGACCGGGGAACAUAGGACCCUUUUUGGGAAAAGCGGGGAAAAAGGGUCCUAUGUUCCCCAGUCUCAUACAAAGAGGGGAACAUAGGACCCGGGGAACAUAGACACGCUCCCGAGACUAUAAGCUUAAAAGUUGAGUUGUAAAUAGUAUAAACCAUGUCAUAUUUAACCUCACUGCAGUAGAACUACAGGUGAUUGGGCGCUUCAGCCACACACUGUGUGCUCCAUAUAGGCUACUAAGACUGCUGCACUUUGUUCCUCUCUCUGUCCCCCAUUUACUGUCAAUCUUCAGCUGUACUAUCAAAGAAAGGCAAAAAGCCCCCAAAAAUCAUCUUAAAAAAACCUCCAAACUACAGGUGUUUUGCAAGUCAACCACUCAAAGAGGAUGUAUUGCAAUAUCUGUAGGUUUUUAAAAAUCUGCCCCACAUUGAAACCUGUAAAAUUCAACUGUAGGCUAAAUUGGCUAUUGAGUUCCCCCUUGAUUGCCCACAAAAAUAUGCCUCAAUUCAUGUUCCCAAAGGAGCUGGUCCAUCACUCUUCCACAUAAUACGGCCAUUGACUUUUCCUAGAAUGGCUCCCAGUCCCCCCAUUUCCUGGUCCAAUGGCCCCUCUUCUUGGUAGACACUUGUUUGUGGAGUGCUCUGUUAUUGUCAGAUUGGGGGGUUGUAGGUCUAUAGAAAAUUCCUUGUGCCCUUUAAAUAAAAGGGGGAUGUCUGGCGUCACUGGUCUGUCAUUAGCAGCUGUGCUUUGAAUAGGGAUAGCUCAACAACAAGUCUGAUAAAAAACUACCUAUGCAGCUAUGUCCAAAGAAAUGAAAAUAUACAUUUGAAAUGUAAAAAAGUACUUUCAUGAAGAUAUUCAAACUAUUCCUUAAAAAAAAUGCUGAUGGGCAGCUAGCUUAAAGGGACAGUUUACCCCAAAUCAAAAAUGCACUUCCUUUUUUUAAUCAAUCUAGAAUUGUGUGUUUGUUGCCGAGUGUGGGAGAGCUGCUUCCUUCUCUCAAAUAUAAUAGGACUUUAUGGCACUUUGCUUGUGAAGCUCAAAGCUCCAAACAAUACAUUUGAAAAACUCAGCA
Molecule: long non-coding RNA, 4261 nt
Organism: Centropristis striata (black sea bass)
Lineage: Eukaryota; Metazoa; Chordata; Actinopteri; Perciformes; Serranidae
Exons: 2
Source: RefSeq, a predicted model, not a curated record